This is a long non-coding RNA of Alligator mississippiensis (American alligator), 1049 nucleotides long. RefSeq lists it as uncharacterized. The record is from RefSeq and is a predicted model, not a curated record. NCBI's taxonomy places the organism in Eukaryota, Metazoa, Chordata, Crocodylia, Alligatoridae. The transcript is spliced from 3 exons.
AGGAAAGAGAAGUCUGGCCCUGGGACCGCAAAUCACAGACUGUGAUGACAAGAGGGGGCCUAAUAAAACUCAGCACCCUUCGCUUUUAAAUGAAACAAGGGCAGGAGGGCAUGAUUUAUUGCCUGAAGACUUCAUGAGGCAAGUGACUUGUUUUGAUGGAUACAGACAGCCAUAGAACUAAGGUCUUCCAAGAUUCAGACCAGCAGCAAGGUGACCUAGUGACAUAAGGCUGCUAGACCAAGAUUCAGGACACCUGGGUUCUCUUCCAAUUGCUGUCACUGCCCCACUAAGUUACCUUGAGCAGCUUCAGGAGUGCCCCAGGUCUUCACUUGCACUGACAGUGUCUUGUGGAUGUCUGCAGUGUCACUGCCUUCCAGUGAUUCUUCUCUGGAUGGGACAGAGCAAGUGCCUCUCCAAGAAGAGCAGUCAAGUCUUGAAGAGGGUAAGGGGGAAUGCCACAGAGUAGCAAGUAAGGGGCAAGGCUGCUACACUACAUAUGGGCCCUCGCUAUUGCCUGUACCAAGAGGUGUUCUCACUACCCAUCUGCAAUUAAUGGGUUCCAGGAUGACUCUAUAGCAAUGAAGAGCUAACAGGAAGAAAUACUGGCUGAUCCAGGUGUGGGACAGGAGUGGGAGGACUGUAAGAGGUGAGGCAGGUAGGAAUACAUCAAUAGGGACCUUAAAGCUAACAGCUUCAUUGAAAUGUGAAACCACUCUGGUUUCAAGGAAAAUUACUUACUGAACCUCAGGAUGCCAAUUUGUUUAAAAAAUGCUGUGUGCCAGCAGGAAACUGGUACUUUAAAAGAAAACUGAAGUUAUGCUGAUGCCAUUUCCUGAUGUAUAUAGUCCUUAUGUCUUUCCCACUUCUCAUGAUAAGGGGGUCAUCUUCCAACUAAAUCAACCCACCAUUAGUUAUUUCCAUGUGCACAGAGUUAGUUGCUACAAGGCAGAAUGUGAUUCUGAUGAUUAGAUGCCUAGAUGUUGAUGCUUUAAAUUAAGAUUCCUGGAUAUGCAUCUGAUGUACAGAGGUUAAUUAAAAAACUAUUGUGU